CAUCUUUUCUCAGGAGUUCCCACCGAAGACUAGAGGGAGAGAAAAGUUUGGUUAUUUUGGGAAUAACUUCCCACACAUAAAAAAAAAUAACAAUGAAGUGUUGAGAGAGGAAGAAGGAAGGAGGGAGGAAAAAGGAAGCCGAUCGUGAGCCAAAUGGAAGCCCGCUGCUGUGCCACUGCUGCCGUCUACCACUCCAUGGAAGGCUGAUCUUCUCUCUAGGGCCGGAUGUAGCCCUAGCAAAGGGCCAAGGGUUUUAUAUUUUGAUUUCUAUUCUUGGAGUUGUAUAAACCUUAUUUUGCUUCUAAUGAAUAUUUUAUUUCAUCUCAUAUUUAAUUUCUGUGAUUUUAAAUAUGACGUUUAUACAAUUGUUCUUCAUGAUCACUAGGUAAAUAUAAGAUAGUCCAUGCUUAAGGAAGAUGCGAUGUGCUGCCACCUUAGAUUAGGGUAGACAUUUCAUACUAACUAAAGAUGGAUUAUGCCUAAAUUACUUUUGUAAAUUUCUAUUUAAAUGCUUAUUAGGCUUGUAGCCAAUUUGCAUGUUUAUCCAAGAAUAAAUUAAAAUAUAAUUAAUCCUUGUUCCGAUGUUAGUGGUGAAUUUCUUGCCCUAGGUUCCCCCAAACUGAUAUCCUUUUAAUUGCAUUUUCUUAAAUUCCUUAGUUUAA
Molecule: long non-coding RNA, 662 nt
Filed under: Phoenix dactylifera (date palm)
Lineage: Eukaryota; Viridiplantae; Streptophyta; Magnoliopsida; Arecales; Arecaceae
Description: long non-coding RNA (PDAC_LNC006118)
Source: RNAcentral